UACGAAGGGGGCUAGCGUUGCUCGGAAUCACUGGGCGUAAAGCGCACGUAGGCGGCUCCCCAAGUCAGGGGUGAAAUCCGGCAGCUUAACUGUCGAAGUGCCUUUGAUACUGGGGAGCUCGAGGGAGGUAGGGGUGUGUGGAACUUCCGGUGGAGCGGUGAAAUGCGUUGAUAUCGGAAGGAACGCCGGUGGCGAAAGCGACGCACUGGACCUCUUCUGACGCUGAGGCGCGAAAGCCAGGGGAGCAAACGGG
RNAcentral lists this ribosomal RNA (253 nucleotides) under uncultured bacterium. RNAcentral describes it as "partial 16S ribosomal RNA". It matches the Rfam family "Bacterial small subunit ribosomal RNA", at positions 524 to 776 of the family's 1533-position model. The record is from RNAcentral.